RNAcentral lists this transfer RNA (73 nucleotides) under Pelobates cultripes (western spadefoot toad). RNAcentral's name for it is "tRNA.Arg". It matches the Rfam family "tRNA". From Rfam's summary of the family: Transfer RNA (tRNA) molecules are approximately 80 nucleotides in length. The record is from RNAcentral. Lineage: Eukaryota; Metazoa; Chordata; Amphibia; Anura; Pelobatidae.
GCCCCAGUGGCCUAACAGAUAAGGCACUGGCCUUCUAAGCCAGGGAUUAAGGGUUCCAGUCCCAUCUGGGGUG